This 449-nucleotide ribosomal RNA is filed under the name uncultured bacterium. RNAcentral describes it as "partial 16S ribosomal RNA". It matches the Rfam family "Bacterial small subunit ribosomal RNA", at positions 29 to 523 of the family's 1533-position model. The record is from RNAcentral.
AACGAAUGCUGGCGGCAUGCCUAACACAUGCAAGUCGAACGAGACCUUCGGGUCUUGUGGCGCACGGGUGAGUACAACGUGGGAAUCUGCCCUUCGGUUCGGAAUAACAGUUAGAAAUGAAUGCUAAUACCGGAUAAUGACGAAAGCCCAAAGAUUUAUAGCAGAAGGAUGAGCCGGCGUAGGAUUAGGUAGUUGGUGGGGUCAUGCCCUACCAAGCCGUCGGUCAUUAGCUGGUCUGAGAGGAUGAUCAGCCACACUGGGACUGAGACACGGCCCAGACUCCUACGGGGGGCAGCCGUGGGGAAUAUUGGACAAUGGGCUAAAGCCUGAUCCAGCAAUGCUGCGUGAGUGAUGAAGGCCUUAGGGUUGUAAAGCUCUUUUACCCGGGAUGAUAAUGACAGUACCGGGAGAAUAAGCGCCGGCUAACUCCGUGCCAGCCGCCGCAGUAA